Molecule: ribosomal RNA, 826 nt
Filed under: uncultured bacterium
Lineage: Bacteria
Description: bacterial SSU rRNA
Rfam family: Bacterial small subunit ribosomal RNA
Source: RNAcentral
UGCAGUCGAGGGGUAUAGUUCUUCGGAACUAGAGACCGGCGCACGGGUGCGUAACGCGUAUGCAAUCUACCUUUUACAGAGGGAUAGCCCAGAGAAAUUUGGAUUAAUACCUCAUAGUAUAUAGCCCUGGCAUCAGGAUUAUAUUAAAGUCACAACGGUAAAAGAUGAGCAUGCGUCCCAUUAGCUAGUUGGUAAGGUAACGGCUUACCAAGGCUACGAUGGGUAGGGGUCCUGAGAGGGAGAUCCCCCACACUGGUACUGAGACACGGACCAGACUCCUACGGGAGGCAGCAGUGAGGAAUAUUGGACAAUGGGCGCAAGCCUGAUCCAGCCAUGCCGCGUGCAGGAUGACGGUCCUAUGGAUUGUAAACUGCUUUUAUACGAGAAGAAACACUCCUUCGUGAAGGAGCUUGACGGUAUCGUAAGAAUAAGGAUCGGCUAACUCCGUGCCAGCAGCCGCGGUAAUACGGAGGAUCCAAGCGUUAUCCGGAAUCAUUGGGUUUAAAGGGUCCGUAGGCGGUUUAAUAAGUCAGUGGUGAAAGCCCAUCGCUCAACGGUGGAACGGCCAUUGAUACUGUUAGACUUGAAUUAUUAGGAAGUAACUAGAAUAUGUAGUGUAGCGGUGAAAUGCUUAGAGAUUACAUGGAAUACCAAUUGCGAAGGCAGGUUACUACUAAUUGAUUGACGCUGAUGGACGAAAGCGUGGGUAGCGAACAGGAUUAGAUACCCUGGUAAGUCCACGCCGUAAACGAUGGAUACUAUCUGUUGGAAGCAAUUUCAGUGGCUAACCGAAAGUUGAUAGUAUCCCACCUGGGGAGUACGUUCG